UCUCGGCUUAUCACCGGCAGUCCCCCUAGAGUGCCCAACUAAAUGAUGGCAACUAGGGGCGAGGGUUGCGCUCGUUGCGGGACUUAACCCAACAUCUCACGGCACGAGCUGACGACAGCCAUGCAGCACCUGUGCGGGCUCCCGAAGGAGGACCGGCUUUCACCGGCUUCACCCCGCAUGUCAAGCCCUGGUAAGGUUCUUCGCGUUGCGUCGGAUUAAGCCACAUGCUCCGCCGCUUGUGCGGGCCCCCGUCAAUUCCUUUGAGUUUUAGCCUUGCGACCGUACUCCCCAGGCGGAAUGCUUAAAGCGUUAGCUGCGCCACUGACGAGCAAGCUCGCCAACGGCUGGCAUUCAUCGUUUACGGCGUGGACUAC
Molecule: unclassified non-coding RNA, 374 nt
Filed under: uncultured Alphaproteobacteria bacterium
Lineage: Bacteria; Pseudomonadati; Pseudomonadota; Alphaproteobacteria
Description: contains 16S-23S intergenic spacer region
Source: RNAcentral